RNAcentral lists this microRNA precursor (82 nucleotides) under Colius striatus (speckled mousebird). Its description in RNAcentral is "let-7 microRNA precursor family". It matches the Rfam family "let-7 microRNA precursor family". Rfam says of the family: This family represents the microRNAs (miRNA) let-7 and mir-98. let-7 was identified from a study of developmental timing in C. elegans, and was later shown to be part of a much larger class of non-coding RNAs termed miRNAs. The extents of the hairpin precursors are not generally known and are estimated based on hairpin prediction. The products are thought to have regulatory roles through complementarity to mRNA. RNAcentral also lists the same sequence under 1 other name. Lineage: Eukaryota; Metazoa; Chordata; Aves; Coliiformes; Coliidae. The record is from Rfam by way of RNAcentral.
GUGGGAUGAGGUAGUAGGUUGUAUAGUUUUAGGAUCAUACCCACAACUGGGAGAUAACUAUACAAUCUACUGUCUUUCCUAA